GGGCCCGCACAAGCGGUGGAGCAUGUGGUUUAAUUCGAUGCAACGCGAAGAACCUUACCUACUCUUGACAUCCAGAGAACUUUCCAGAGAUGGAUUGGUGCCUUCGGGAACUCUGAGACAGGUGCUGCAUGGCUGUCGUCAGCUCGUGUUGUGAAUGUUGGUUAAGUCCGCAACGAGCGCAACCUUACUCCUUGUUUGCCAGCGAGUAAUGUCGGGAACUCCAGGGAGACUGCCGGUGAUAAACCGGAGGAAGGUGGGGACGACGUCAAGUCAUCAUGGCCCUUACGAGUAGGGCUACACACGUGCUACAAUGGCGCAUACAGAGGGCGGCCAACUUGCGAGAGUGAGCGAAUCCCAAAAAGUGCGUCGUAGUCCGGAUCGGAGUCUGCAACUCGACUCCGUGAAGUCGGAAUUGCUAGUAAUCG
RNAcentral lists this ribosomal RNA (425 nucleotides) under uncultured bacterium. RNAcentral describes it as "bacterial SSU rRNA". It matches the Rfam family "Bacterial small subunit ribosomal RNA", at positions 917 to 1344 of the family's 1533-position model. The record is from RNAcentral.